AACGAACGCUGGCGGCAUGCCUAACACAUGCAAGUCGAACGAGACCUCCGGGUCUAGUGGCGCACGGGUGCGUAACGCGUGGGAACCUGCCCUUAGGUUCGGAAUAACUCCCCGAAAGGGGUGCUAAUACCGGAUAAUGUCUUCGGACCAAAGAUUUAUCGCCUUUGGAUGGGCCCGCGUUGGAUUAGCUAGUUGGUAGGGUAAAAGCCUACCAAGGCGACGAUCCAUAGCUGGUCUGGGAGAAUGAUCAGCCACACUGGGACUGAGACACGGCCCAGACUCCUACGGGAGGCAGCAGUGGGGAAUAUUGGACAAUGGGCGAAAGCCUGAUCCAGCAAUGCCGCGUGAGUGAUGAAGGCCUUAGGGUUGUAAAGCUCUUUUACCCGGGAUGAUAAUGACAGUACCGGGAGAAUAAGCUCCGGCUAACUCCGUG
Molecule: ribosomal RNA, 433 nt
Filed under: uncultured bacterium
Lineage: Bacteria
Description: partial 16S ribosomal RNA
Rfam family: Bacterial small subunit ribosomal RNA
Source: RNAcentral